This 473-nucleotide ribosomal RNA is filed under the name uncultured bacterium. RNAcentral's name for it is "bacterial SSU rRNA". It matches the Rfam family "Bacterial small subunit ribosomal RNA", at positions 64 to 524 of the family's 1533-position model. The record is from RNAcentral.
GAGGGGUACAUAGAAAAGCUUGCUUUUCUGAUGACGACCGGCGCACGGGUGAGUAACGCGUAUACAACCUACCUUUUAGCGGGGAAUAGCCCAGGGAAACUUGGAUUAAUGUCCCAUAGUAUGGAGGUCUCUCCUGAGAUCAUCAUUAAACAUUUAUGGCUAUUAGAUGGGUAUGCGUCCUAUUAGUUAGUUGGUAAGGUAACGGCUUACCAAGGCAGCGAUAGGUAGGGGUCCUGAGAGGGAGAUCCCCCACACUGGUACUGAGACACGGACCAGACUCCUACGGGAGGCAGCAGUGAGGAAUAUUGGACAAUGGGCGAAAGCCUGAUCCAGCCAUGCCGCGUGUGUGAAGAAGGUCUUCGGAUUGUAAAGCACUUUAAGUUGGGAGGAAGGGUUGUAGAUUAAUACUCUGCAAUUUUGACGUUACCGACAGAAUAAGCACCGGCUGACUCUGUGCCAGCAGCCGCGGUAAU